UACGUAGGCUGCAGGCGUUAAUCGGAAUUACUGGGCGUAAAGCGUGCGCAGGCGGUUUGCUAAGACAGGUGUGAAAUCCCCGGGCUUAACCUGGGAACUGCGCUUGUAACUGGCAAGCUAGAGUGUGGCAGAGGGGGGUGGAAUUCCACGUGUAGCAGUGAAAUGCGUAGAGAUGUGGAGGAACACCGAUGGCGAAGGCAGCCCCCUGGGCUAACACUGACGCUCAUGCACGAAAGCGUGGGGAGCAAACAGG
This 253-nucleotide ribosomal RNA is filed under the name uncultured bacterium. RNAcentral describes it as "partial 16S ribosomal RNA". It matches the Rfam family "Bacterial small subunit ribosomal RNA", at positions 524 to 776 of the family's 1533-position model. The record is from RNAcentral.